CUCCUGGAAACGGGUGGUAAUGCCGGAUGUUCCACAUGAGCGCAUGCGAGUGUGGGAAAGGCUUUUUGCGGCAUGGGAUGGGGUCGCGUCCUAUCAGCUUGUUGGUGGGGUAACGGCCUACCAAGGCGUUGACGGGUAGCCGGCCUGAGAGGGCGACCGGCCACAUUGGGACUGAGAUACGGCCCAGACUCCUACGGGAGGCAGCAGUGGGGAAUAUUGCACAAUGGGCGCAAGCCUGAUGCAGCGACGCCGCGUGCGGGAUGGAGGCCUUCGGGUUGUAAACCGCUUUUGUUCAAGGGCAAGGCACGGUUUCGGCCGUGUUGAGUGGAUUGUUCGAAUAAGCACCGGCUAACUACGUGCCAGCAGCCGCGGUAAUACGUAGGGUGCAAGCGUUAUCCGGAUUUAUUGGGCGUAAAGGGCUCGUAGGCGAUUCGUCGCGUCCGGUGUGAAAGUCCAUCGCUUAACGGUGGAUCCGCGCCGGGUACGGGCGGGCUUGAGUGCGGUAGGGGAGACUGGAAUUCCCGGUGUAACGGUGGAAUGUGUAGAUAUCGGGAAGAACACC
RNAcentral lists this ribosomal RNA (562 nucleotides) under uncultured Bifidobacterium sp. Its description in RNAcentral is "bacterial SSU rRNA". It matches the Rfam family "Bacterial small subunit ribosomal RNA", at positions 147 to 710 of the family's 1533-position model. The record is from RNAcentral. Lineage: Bacteria; Bacillati; Actinomycetota; Actinomycetes; Bifidobacteriales; Bifidobacteriaceae.